Molecule: ribosomal RNA, 492 nt
Filed under: uncultured bacterium
Lineage: Bacteria
Description: bacterial SSU rRNA
Rfam family: Bacterial small subunit ribosomal RNA
Source: RNAcentral
AAAGGAAUAGACGGGGGCCCGCACAAGCAGCGGAGCAUGUGGUUUAAUUCGAAGCAACGCGAAGAACCUUACCCAGACUUGACAUCUCCUGAAUUAAUCGUAAUGGAUGAAUUCCCUUCGGGGACAGGAAGACAGGUGGUGCAUGGUUGUCGUCAGCUCGUGUCGUGAGAUGUUGGGUUAAGUCCCGCAACGAGCGCAACCCUUAUCAUUAGUUGCUAACAUUUAGUUGAGCACUCUAGUGAGACUGCCCGGGUUAACCGGGAGGAAGGUGGGGAUGACGUCAAAUCAUCAUGCCCCUUAUGUCUGGGGCUACACACGUGCUACAAUGGUGGGAACAAAGAGAUGCAAUACCGCAAGGUGGAGCCAAACUUCAAAACCCAUCCCAGUUCGGAUUGUAGGCUGAAACUCGCCUACAUGAAGCUGGAGUUGCUAGUAAUCGCGAAUCAGAAUGUCGCGGUGAAUACGUUCCCGGGCCUUGUACACACCGCCCGU